AUUGAACGCUGGCGGUAGGCCUAACACAUGCAAGUCGAACGGCAGCACAGUAAGAGCUUGCUCUUACGGGUGGCGAGUGGCGGACGGGUGAGGAAUACAUCGGAAUCUACUUUUUCGUGGGUGAUAACGUAGGGAAACUUACGCUAAUACCGCAUACGACCUACGGGUGAAAGCAUGGGAUCUUCGGACCUUGCGCGAUUGAAUGAGCCGAUGUCGGAUUAGCUAGUUGGCGGGGUAAAGGCCCACCAAGGCGACGAUCCGUAGCUGGUCUGAGAGGAUGAUCAGCCACACUGGAACUGAGACACGGUCCAGACUCCUACGGGAGGCAGCAGUGGGGAAUAUUGGACAAUGGGCGCAAGCCUGAUCCAGCCAUACCGCGUGGGUGAAGAAGGCCUUCGGGUUGUAAAGCCCUUUUGUUGGGAAAGAAAAGCAGCAGGUUAAUACCCCGCUGUUCUGACGGUACCCAAAGAAUAAGCACCGGCUAACUUCGUG
RNAcentral lists this ribosomal RNA (492 nucleotides) under uncultured bacterium. RNAcentral's name for it is "partial 16S ribosomal RNA". It matches the Rfam family "Bacterial small subunit ribosomal RNA", at positions 30 to 507 of the family's 1533-position model. The record is from RNAcentral.